CCAUAAGUGCUCCCAAAAGACUACUUCAUAAUGGUUGUCUUCAGAUUUCAUCAUGUACAUUACCUACGAUAGAAAACAACUAUCGCUAAGCAUAAAGCUUAGUGGCAUAUAAACUUUGGACUUGGAGUCAUUAAAUUUUCCAAUUUCCUUUUCUGUCAUAGUUAGCUCAAUUUAACAUAAUUUAAAAUAAGUGAACAAAUAUAUCAAACAUAUCAAAUAUCAAACUUUGAAGUGUUUUCAAAUAUCAACAACAAUGUUCAAGAGUCGAGAAAGUGUGAACUAUCAAUCCAAGAGAGUUUACCAUAUAUCCAUAUUUCGCCAAUUUGUACGUCAUGUCAUCACUGUCACACCUCUUUUUUACCACCCGAAAGGGUAUAUAAGGGAGUUUUCCAAUUAAAGUGACAUUAAUCGAAAUGAGAUUAUUUAAUUUAUCAGAGUCGGAAUAGUUUAUUUGGUGUCCCAAGUCACCGAUUUAUUUUAAAAUCCCAAAUCGAGGAAAUUUCGACUUUAUUUUAAAAGUCUGCAAACCAAAAAUUCUAAGUAAAAGAAUUCUAUUAACCCGGGAGAAGGUGUUAGGCAUUUUCGGGUUCCGUGGUUCUAGCACGGUCGCUUAAACUAUUAAUAAUUGGCCUAUUAUCUGAUUUACUACACGUUUUGAACCUAUUGUGCAUUUUAAAAUUAUAACCGCUUUUAUUAAUUUAAAUCCGCUUUUAGGAUUCAUGGGAUUAUUUGCUUGAACAAAUUGUUUUUGGAACACAACGCGAAUCACGCUACAUGAAAUGCACCCGCGAUUCACGACAUAUUUAUUUUAUUAAAAUUCGAAGUUGUUAUGAUCGGGUUACAUGAAAUGCACCCCCCCCCCCCCCGAAUUUUGGAAUUAGGUACCACAACUACGUCACGGCAACCGUACUCGUAGCUAUGAUGAUUUUAUUAUAAACGCACCUAAAGCAAACUACGAGUGUUUAAAAAAGACAUUUUACUAUACUAAGCUAAUACUUAAUGUGAGGGCCAUAAGUUAUGGGUUUUGCUUGUGUAUGACACACCUCAAUUUAUUUUAACAAGGUUUGCAUUUCACUUAAGCAAGACUAAGGACACUAAUAUUUAAAUCCUAAUUUGAAGUUCAAACUAAGAAUCUUUUAAUCAAAGACAAACUUAAAGCGUGAAAGGGCUAGGCUUUUAAAUUAUUUUUUGAAAAGGAGUUUGGGCUUGGGCGCUCAUCACUUGAUUAACUCAGGAAAAAUUCAGCUUUGAAAAGUUGUAUUUGGGCUCAAUGUUUGGCCCAGCAGAAAAAGAACUCAAGGGCUCUUGCUUCUAAAGGAAUUUUAAUCAAACUUGCCCAUAUUGGGCUAAUAUCAGGCGGGCCCAGUUAUAAUUAUCUAAUGUCUGGGCCUAUCCACCUCUACCUUUAACCAUUAAUCACAUAUUUAUAGCAGCUAAAUUUUCAAAUCGUUGUUUUAAACAGAAAUACAAUUUAAAGAUUAAACAUGAUUCUAAACUGAAAAUUAAUCAACUGAUUUGUUUUGAAACAUAAAAAACACAUACAUGAUUUAUGAUAAAAAGAGGCUCCUCAGACUGACCCAAAGUUUGAGCCUAUAGACUAGGCCCAAAUAAUUUGAGGUUAGUCUUUCACUUGGGCUGCAAAUUCAACCCUCUUUAAUCGAAUGAACAGACUUUCAGUUCUACUGAGUGGGCUCAAAACCCAGUUCCUUCACACCACUACUAUUUUGUAAAAUAUAACAAACACAUAAUUAAACUCCUAAUGUGUCUGUUCUGAAUCCUUAGUACAUGACAUUAAAACCUGAUUCAUUACAGUCUUCAAAUAAAUUAAACAGGUUUUCAAAAUCAAUACUUUACAUUAGGACUUAUUACAUAAACUAAUUACAUUAAAAGCUAAACUAUUACAUAUUUGCAUGACUGACGUCAUGAAGAAUUCCUGUCUCUUUUGGACAUGAUUUGUCCAUUAGAGCUUGGUCUCCACUGGUCAAAAACAGCAUGAUUCCCAAUUUUCAGCUUUUGAACCUGCUGAUUUGGCCAACUAGUGGCCAAAUCUGCAGGUAGCAGCUCAUAGCCAAACAGACAAAGAAAGAAAACAAAUGGCUUUAAGUAAAGAGAAGGCCAUCAGAUGAUAGAAAAAAGAAACAUAACUAAAACUUCAUAAUCAGCAUUAAUAACCAGAAUGUUUGGCUAUAAGACAAAGCUAUUUUUUAUGGCAAGAUAAAACCACAAAGGCACUCAUGUGUUAACUAAGUUAUUCAUGCUAAAUCAUUUCAUACUUUAAACACACAUAAUCAAAACCAAUCAAAUGCAUAUCAAGGGUAACUACUGUUAUCAUGAAAGACAUUCAUUUCCACACAUGCCAUUUACAAAUCUGAUUUUUAUAUCAUUUCAGCAAGUCAUUAAGGCAUCACAUAUAGAAAGAGCUAAGGUUAAAUACCUAGAAACAACAACAAAAAUCAGCACUAAUAGAUGACUAAAGUGGCUGAAAAACUUAGAAUAAGAUAGCAGCAACAGGACUCAAAAUCAACAACCAAAAUCAGGAACCAGACUUCCAACAAACAGCUACAGCAGCUAAAACCAGUAUACCCCAAUAAAAACCAAGAAAACAUCCACUUUAAACCAUGCUUCUCAGCUUAUGAAGACCAGAAUAAGAAGUUCUGAAUGUUUUUGGUUGAAAUCAGAAGCCAAAGAAAUCGAUUCUCUUUUAAAAGCAGUAGCUGAACUUGAGAGAAUAUUUUUUCCUAGGGUUUCUGAAAUCUGAUGUAUUUUUCAGAACCUUUUGUGCAGAGAAUGAUGAUGAAUGUAUGUGUGUGAAUGAGGGAAUAUUUUUCUUUUAUAGAGUGUUUUAAAAUGGCAUCAAAAAACCAUAUUCUAACCUAAAUCUCUAAAAAUUAGAAUAGUACAGAAUCUUGACAGGGAUAAAAUGUCCAGCUAUCCAUUUUCAGCAUCGUUUUUAAACCAAUUUAGAUAGUUGGUACACUUCUAGAACUUUCUUCCUUUAGAUAUUUUAUUUUUAAUAAAGUUCCGCAAUCCCCUAAGUUUCCUUUUAGUCUAAUUAAGUCCCUAUAUAUUCUAAUGAUGUAAAAAGUCAGGACAAAAGCCAUAAAUCAAAUUAAAAGGGCAAACAGAAUGAUAAUGAUGCAAUGUUGACCAUGAGACUGACCUAAAAAGCAUUAAUCUAAUUAAACCUAAAUAACACUGAAUUCAAAUGAAUAAUGCAUCUAUAUUUAAACAAAACAGAAUUGCAAAGAUAGACUAAAAAGACCCUAAAAAUUCUGAACCUAACAUGAAAGAACAACGAAACCUAAUUAAUCUAACUCAUGCAAUUGAAUAAUGAAAUUCAGGCAUGCUUCAAUUAACUUACCAAACAAAAACAAAUGAUCAACUAAGCAAUUGUGAAUAAAGAAAAGAAAACCUAAAAUUAUAGCCCUAAAACAUGCGGCUAAAGGAAGCAAUUAACAUGAAGAAGACAAUUAACAAGAAAGUAAUAUAAACAGAAAAGGAAAUUACCUAGUUUUGUUCCAAACUGGACCCUACUAUGAACUCGGCCAAACUUCACAAGGCAGAAAUGAACUCGAACUACCAUUAAUCGAAUGUUAUUAACAAGAACAGUAGACUAAUGGAUGCUUUGGGUUCACUUGACCAACCACUGACCAAGAAAAGACGAAAAGGAAAAUUCAGGUUUUUCCGAAAUCUUAGAUUUAAAAUUCGACAAGAUUGGGGCUGAUUUGAGAGGAACCAUGGGGAUAUUUGGGGAGAGGAGAAGGGAGGGAUUGCAUGGUGUGAAUUUGGUGGCGUUUGGGUGACUUAGGGUUUAGAAACUGAUCUUCGGAUCUAAGAUUCGAGGAUUUGGGUAGGGAUUUUGGAGACAAAGCUCGUGGAUUUGGAAAGAGGAAGGGACAGGGGUUAUGGGGUGUUAAUUUGAAGGUGUUUGGAGCACCGGAAUCGCCGUGAGGCGAUUUCCGGUGGCGGUUGGCGGUGGAGACGGUGAAGUAUCUUAGGGCGACUAGGGUUUGGGGGUUAGAUAUAGAGACUGUGAGAGAUACAGAGUGAU
RNAcentral lists this long non-coding RNA (4051 nucleotides) under Nicotiana tabacum (common tobacco). RNAcentral describes it as "long non-coding RNA (NTAB_LNC011730)". Lineage: Eukaryota; Viridiplantae; Streptophyta; Magnoliopsida; Solanales; Solanaceae. The record is from RNAcentral.